AGUUGAUAGUUGCUGGAGAAAUCCAUCAACCGACAACCAAAAACCAACAACUAACAACCUUAAGGUGGUUAUUGCGGCGGGGCUCACCUCUUCCCAUCCCGAACAGAGUAGUUAAGCCCGCCUGCGCAGAUGGUACUGCAGUUAUGUGGGAGAGUAUGUCGUCGCCUUUC
RNAcentral lists this ribosomal RNA (170 nucleotides) under Flavobacterium araucananum. The record is from RNAcentral. Lineage: Bacteria; Pseudomonadati; Bacteroidota; Flavobacteriia; Flavobacteriales; Flavobacteriaceae.